RNAcentral lists this ribosomal RNA (492 nucleotides) under uncultured bacterium. Its description in RNAcentral is "partial 16S ribosomal RNA". It matches the Rfam family "Bacterial small subunit ribosomal RNA", at positions 29 to 507 of the family's 1533-position model. The record is from RNAcentral.
AGUGAACGCUGGCGGUAGACCUAACACAUGCAAGUCGAACGGCAGCACAGUAAGAGCUUGCUCUUACGGGUGGCGAGUGGCGGACGGGUGAGGAAUACAUCGGAAUCUACUUUUUCGUGGGGGAUAACGUAGGGAAACUUACGCUAAUACCGCAUACGACCUACGGGUGAAAGCAGGGGAUCUUCGGACCUUGCGCGAUUGAAUGAGCCGAUGUCGGAUUAGCUAGUUGGCGGGGUAAAGGCCCACCAAGGCGACGAUCCGUAGCUGGUCUGAGAGGAUGAUAAGCCACACUGGACCUGAGACACGGUCCAGACUCCUACGGGAGGCAGCAGUGGAGAAUAUUGGACAAUGAGCGCAAGCCUGAUCCAGACCUACCGCGUGGGUGAAGAAGGCCUUCGGGUUGUAAAACCCUUUUGUUGGGAAAGAAAAGCAGCGGAUUAAUACCCCGCUGUUCUGACGGUGCCCAAAGAAUAAGCACCGGCUAACUUCGUG